Molecule: long non-coding RNA, 390 nt
Filed under: Anser brachyrhynchus (Pink-footed goose)
Lineage: Eukaryota; Metazoa; Chordata; Aves; Anseriformes; Anatidae
Description: lncRNA (ENSABRG00000015212.1)
Source: RNAcentral
AUUUCUUAUGCUAUACUAUUUAUGCAUUCUGGCCUUUUACAAACUGUUUUUUUUUUUUUUUUCCAAUAGGACUUCUACUGUCAAGGUCCUUCAAUAAGACUUCUUCUGUGCUAAGUAGAAGCGUCUCGGAGAAUGAAACCAAACCAGACACCGAGAUAUAUAUGUGUGAAAGAAAGACAUUUUCAGGUUUUCCCCUUGUGUUGAUAGAAGAGGAAUCCAGGCAACAUCUUUCACACCCAGACUAGUUUGCAAAUGGAAGGCUUAAGAGCUUGCUUGCUCAAAACGACUGGUACUCUGUAACUCUUCAGGAACACCUCUAUGACUUCUCACAUAGCUACUCCAGAUCAACUUCAACCACUGCAGCACGUCUCAAACUGAAACCUGUACUCU